GUAAAAAGGUAAUGAUGUAAGAAUUUGCUAAAUAUUGAAUAUUGAAUUAAAGUUUUUAUAUGACAAGAGGGAAAAUAGAAUAAGGAAAUGUAAUGAUAGAUUGUUAUGGGAAAAAAAAAAGACAGAAAGGAUUUGCUGUGAAAAUUAAAAACUAAGAAACAAGAGAGGGGAGGUGGAGGAAGUCUAGAAAGGAAGUUAAUGGAGAUCGUAAAGAACUAUAUAUUUCUGUUUUUCUGAUUCUCUUUUUUUUUCUUUUUUGCGGCUGGGUUUUCUUUUCUUUUUCUUCAAUAUUUUUUUACUCCUUUUGUUAUUUUUCUAUUUUCAAUUUUUAUUUGGAAAUUUCCGUUGUUAUCCUUUGAAAAUUUAAUAAAUAUCAAUUAUAAAAAAAAAAAAAUAAUUAAUUGAAUCUUUCUCCACGAGGCUUGCCAAAUCAUGAAGUAGCUGGCAGUACUGCAGUGUUUCAUUCUUUCAUUGCACAGUGUGACACUGUGCCUUUAAUUGCCUAAUUACCUAAUGUAUUGUUGUGUGAGAACGGGAGCGAUUUCUAUAUCUCCUCCUCCUCCCCUCUGGUCCUUGCAUCUGGCUUUUGCUGAAGGAUACGGCUGCGUGAGUCAGCUCGUCGCUCUGUUGCCUUCUUAUCUUCUCGAUGCUGCUUUCCAGCCAGAGUCUGCUUCUGCUGUACUCUGCUACUACGGGCGAAGUUCCUCACCAUUCAGACAAAUGAGGGAGGGCGUUGGCCCAACAGUAGCAAGUAUAAGCAAAGAUGAGACGCUCACUUCACAUCUUCUGUAGCAGAGCGACAAAAGUCCUUUCAAAGUCCAAAUUCAAAUCUUUGUUGAAAAACAGGAAUGCUCCCGCUCAUGGCGUUGGCAUUGGAGAUUUUCCAAUUCGUGCAAUGCUAAACACCCAGCGCCCCUGCCUCCACUGUAGCGAGCAGCAGAUAUCGGAUGGCAUGUGCGCCCCAUCCCUGCAGGGUUCAACAGGGAUAAUUACCCCCAGAUUCACCUUGUUUAAUUGCACGACUAGGGUCCGGUGUCCUGGGAAAGCAGCCAAACGCCAUAGGCCAUCACACCGGAAGUCUUCUCCAAAGUCUUUUUAUAUUUUCUCUCUGAUAGUAAGAGCUGACUGUGAAAAGGAACUCUCUCAGAAGGGGUGGACCUUCAUUGGGGGUUUUAAGAAGAAGUUGGAUGGCCACCUGUCAUGGAUGCUUGAAAUGAGAUUUCUGGAGGGGCUGGACUAGAUUCUGAAUCUAUAAUUCUAUACUUCACCCUGGUGUGAGAUCUUAAAUUGACUUUUGAACAAGUGAAAUUUUAUACACAUUCCGUGUGCUGAUAUGCUUUCAACCCCGUAUGAAUUAUUUGGUGGGCCAUGAACGAAUCUUUUCCCACAUUCCAAACACUAAACCGUUUUCUCUCUUGUAUGGAUUCUUUGAUGGGAAGUGAGACUAUCCUUCCGACUGAAGCUCUUCUCACAUUCUGAGCACUGAUAGGGUUUCUCCCCUGUAUGAAUUCUUUGAUGAGAAGUGAGAUUCCCCUCCUGACUGAAGCGCUUCCCACAUUCUGAGCACUGAUAGGGUUUCUCCCCUGUAUGAAUUCUGUGAUGGUAAGAGAGUGCGGCACUUUGACUGAAGCUCUUUCCACAUUCCAAGCACUGAUAGGGUUUCUCACCUGUAUGAAUUCUUUGAUGGGAAGUGAGCUUGUGGCCCUCCCGGAAGCUUUUCCCACAUUCCAAGCACAUAUAGGGUUUCUCCCUGUAUGAAUUCUUUGAUGGGAAGUCAGAUGACCACUCUGACGAAAGCUCUUUCCACAUUCCAAGCACUGAUAGGGUUUUUUCCCCUGUGUGAACUCUUUGAUGGGAAGUCAGAUCACCACUCAGACGAAAGCUCUUUCCACAUUCCAAGCAGUGAUACGGUUUCUCUCCUGUAUGAAGUCUUUGAUGGGAAGUCAAAUCACCACUCAGACAAAAACCUUUUCCACAUUCGAAGCACUGAUAGGGUUUCUCCCCUGUAUGAAUUCUUUGAUGGGUAGUAAGACUUUCCUUCCGACUGAAGCCCUUUCCACAAUCCAAGCACUGAUAGGGUUUCUCGCCUGUAUGAAUUCUUUGAUGAAAAGUGAGAUUCACCCACUUACUGAAGCUCUUUCCACAUUCCAAGCACUGAUAGGGUUUCUCCCCUGUAUGAAUUCUUUGAUGGGAAGUGAGAUCACCACUCAGACGAAAGCUCUUUCCACAUUCCAAGCACUGAUAGGGUUUCUCCCCUGUAUGAAUUCUUUGAUGAGAAGUGAGAUUCCCCUCCUGACUGAAGCGCUUCCCACAUUCCAAGCACUGAUAGGGUUUCUCCCCUGUAUGAAUUUUGUGAUGGGAAGUGAGGUGACCCUUCCGAUUGAAGCUCUUUCCACAUUCCAAGCACUGAUACGGUUUCUCCCCUGUAUGAAUUCUUUGAUGAGAAGCGAGAUUCUGGCGGUGACUAAAGUUCUUCCCACAUUCCAAGCACUGAUACGGUUUCUCCCCUGUAUGAACUCUUUGAUGGGAAGUGAGAUUCCCCCAGUGACUGAAGCUCUUUCCACAUUCCAAGCAAUUAUAUGGUUUCUCCCCUGUAUGAACUCUUUGAUGCAAAGUUAGAUUACCCUUUCGAUUGAAGUUCUUUCCACAUACUCUGCACCGAUACAAUUUCUCCCUACUCUGUGUUCUUUCAUGUGAAGUCAGGGUAUUCCUUCGAAUGAAGCUCUUUCUUUGAUGGGAGGUGGACUGGGAACUCUGACGGAUCUUCUCUCCACACUCUGAAUAUUUAUAUGACUUCUCUGCUAUGGGGAUUCUGUUGUGCUCCCCUUGUUCUUCCCUUCUGAUUCAUCACCAUCUGCAAUGAAGAGAGAAGCUAAUUAGUCUCAGGAGGAAAUGGGAGCUCCAGAUUAUUGAACAAUGUUAAUGAAUGCUUGUGACAGAGGAAGAACUGAAGAGAAUGAGAUGUGAGGCCGUCCUAUAGGUUUCACUUCCUUAGUUGGCUGGUAUUAACUGAGAUAUUGCUUGGCUUUUAUCUGGGAUGGAUAUUUUUGUGGCUCAAUCAUGGAAUCCACUCCAUCUCCAAUCACAACAUGUUAUGAUCCAACAGGGAUCCUUACUGAGAGAGUCCAUGAUCCCACGAUUCUCCUCCUUGACUUCUCCUUGACCUCCCCUGUGUGAGUGCUUGAGGGCCCUGCUCUUGCCACUCACCAUCUGGCCCAAGGCAGGGCCUGACAGGCCUCACAACUACGGUUGCUGUUACUGCUGCUGCUGUCCAGAAGGACUCAGGGGGGCGCAGAGUUCUUUUUAAAAUGUUUUUUAAAAAUUCUUUUGAAUUUUUUGUAUGUGGGGGGUGGUGGUGGGGUGGGGUGGAUGUUUGGUUGGGCCUGGGAAUUUGUUUGAUUUUGGUGUUUUUUUGUUUUUAAAAGGUUUUAUUUUGUUCUUAAGGGGAGGGGUCAGGGCUGCCGGGGAGUGGGUCCCAGCCAACAAAAUGGCUGGAGCAUGUUCCACAGGGGGCGAUGCACUGGGACAACCGAUCUCAGUGAUCACGGGUAGGAGGAGGAGUUACACUAAGACCAGACCAUGUCGUUAGAGGAGGCAGGUGUAGUCGUUGUCUGAGGACUAUCCCUGCCUCCGGGUCUGGUCCUGACCGGAUGGAUACUAGAAUCAGCAAGGGAUACCCACAUGACCUGAAGGUGCUGCUGUGCAAUGCCAGGUCAAUGAUUCAUAAAACCACUGCCAUCCAUGACUUGAUCAUGGAUGGAGGACUUGACCUGGCAUGUGUAACAGAGACUUGGUUGGAUGAAGCAGAUGGGCCUGUCCUUGCCGCUGCUUGUCCACUAGGUUUCUCUUACGCACAGCAAUCCAGGCCUUGUGGGCGGGGGGGGGGCAGUGAUUUUUAGGAAGUCAUUAGUCUGCACCAAGCGUCCUAUUGGGAAGACUAGGUUCUCUGAGUGCAUGUUCUGGAAGUUGGGCAAUAGGGGCAGUACAGGAUUCCUUUUGGUGUACCGACCUCCCCGCUGCAACAAGGAUUCCCUGCCCGAGCUGCUUCAGGUCGUGGCGGAUAUGCUCCUGGAGACACCUAGUUUGGUUGUCCUGGGGGAUUUUAACAUCCAUGCCGACACGACCUUACAAGGGGCCGCUCGGGACUUCGUGGAAAGCAUGGCCUCCAUGGGGCUGUCCCUGAAAAAGUUUGGCCCAACUCAUAGCCGUGCACAUGCCUUAGACUUGGUGUUUACCUCUACGGAUGUUGGUGAUCUGACACUAACUAAAAGCGAAACAAAAGAAGUGCCAUGGUCAGAUCACUUCCUGGUGCAACUGGACUUCUCCGCGACCCUUCCCCUCUGCAGGGAGGUGGGACCGAUUCGGAUGGUCCGCCCCCGCCACUUAAUGGAUCCAAUUGGCUUCCAGAGAGUGGUAGGGGAUGUUUUUGUUACGAUAUGGAUACAACACAGCUGCAAACUGCUAGCUUGAUGUUGACAUCAUGUGAUGUGGCUAGCUGUGGGAAAGAAUCUUCCCGGAAGUUCACAGGCUACUCAAAGCUGUGUUCUGUGUGUAAUAUGAGACCUUCCUGUUGCGUUUGUAAAGGAAGUCUUUGCCACUUGCUAGAAGGAGACUGAAGCGAUCGGACACGUUUUCUGUAGAGCUGUAACGUCAGAAAUAAACAAGAUGU
Non-coding RNA from Podarcis lilfordi (Lilford's wall lizard), 4669 nucleotides. The record is from the annotation of a GenBank genome assembly. Lineage: Eukaryota; Metazoa; Chordata; Lepidosauria; Squamata; Lacertidae.